CACAGAUCGUUUGACUGCAUGCUGCUGAGAGCACACAAAAGCAGGCAAUGCGGGAGGACGUACCAGUAUGUCCACCUGCAUUGGCGCUGCUCCCACCUGGCUUUAUAUCUACAUUGGCCAGACUGGAAGAGGUUAAUAUGGUCAUAAUGUCAUACUGUGUUUAUUUUUUUUUGCAGGUGGAUUCGAAUUUGAAGAGAAAAUUGAGAUGGAGGAGAGAGAUGGAGCAAACCUCAUGUUACCACACUCACUUUACAUAGUUUAUUUGAGCUAAGAACAUGCUUUGAGAAGGGAAUUAUUUUACUGGAUACAGAGAAGUGUACAUUUAAAGAAAUAAUAGAUCAUGUACUGAAACAAGAAUUUCCAUGAAUAAGUAAAUGAGGAAGAAACUGGAAAUAUUAAAUGUUCUUCUUCAAAACCACACCACACCACCCAACAAAAUCAGGAACAAAAUUUUUGAAAAAACAUAGUUUCAUCAACUUGUAGGGG
Rana temporaria (common frog) is the source of this 486-nucleotide long non-coding RNA. RefSeq lists it as uncharacterized. The transcript is spliced from 2 exons. The record is from RefSeq and is a predicted model, not a curated record. Lineage: Eukaryota; Metazoa; Chordata; Amphibia; Anura; Ranidae.